GGAGGCGGCGGAGGAGGACCAGCCUGCUUCCAGGCAGCGCACGGAUCAGCCGAGCGCCGGCGCCGCGCUGUCAGGCACUUCCCCGGCUGCCGGCGGCGGUCUCCGGAUCAGUGGAUGUAAGGUUUUUGUGGAGAAAACAGAAGAUCAAGGAAGAGUUCGAACGUCGGAGGGCGGACAGGUGGUCGAGUGCUGGACGAGCCACUGGUAGGUGCUCUUUCUAAAGGAGCAACAAGGAGACAUUACUGUUCCACCACUGAAAGGGAGAGUCAGCAUUGCAGCAAACUCAAAGUGAAUCCUACGGAGAAGAACAGUCUGGUCUGCAAGGAAGGAACAUAACCAAG
Xiphophorus hellerii (green swordtail) is the source of this 341-nucleotide long non-coding RNA. RefSeq lists it as uncharacterized. NCBI's taxonomy places the organism in Eukaryota, Metazoa, Chordata, Actinopteri, Cyprinodontiformes, Poeciliidae. The record is from RefSeq and is a predicted model, not a curated record. The transcript has 3 exons.